This 429-nucleotide ribosomal RNA is filed under the name Chloroflexota bacterium. Its description in RNAcentral is "Chloroflexi bacterium partial 16S ribosomal RNA". It matches the Rfam family "Bacterial small subunit ribosomal RNA", at positions 355 to 776 of the family's 1533-position model. The record is from RNAcentral. Lineage: Bacteria; Bacillati; Chloroflexota.
UGGGGAAUAUUGCACAAUGGGCGCAAGCCUGAUGCAGCCAUGCCGCGUGUAUGAAGAAGGCCUUCGGGUUGUAAAGUACUUUCAGCGGGGAGGAAGGGAGUAAAGUUAAUACCUUUGCUCAUUGACGUUACCCGCAGAAGAAGCACCGGCUAACUCCGUGCCAGCAGCCGCGGUAAUACGGAGGGUGCAAGCGUUAAUCGGAAUUACUGGGCGUAAAGCGCACGCAGGCGGUCUGUCAAGUCGGAUGUGAAAUCCCCGGGCUCAACCUGGGAACUGCAUUCGAAAAUGGAAAGCUUGAGUCUCGUAGAGGGGGGUAGAAUUCCAGGUGUAGCGGUGAAAUGCGUAGAGAUCUGGAGGAAUACCGGUGGCGAAGGCGGCCCCCUGGACAAAGACUGACGCUCAGGUGCGAAAGCGUGGGGAGCAAACAGG